AUUGAACGCUGGCGGCAGGCCUAACACAUGCAAGUCGAACGGCAGCACAGAGAGCUUGCUCUCGGGUGACGAGUGGCGGACGGGUGAGUAAUGUCUGGGAAACUGCCCGAUGGAGGGGGAUAACUACUGGAAACGGUAGCUAAUACCGCAUAACGUCGCAAGACCAAAGUGGGGGACCUUCGGGCCUCACACCAUCGGAUGUGCCCAGAUGGGAUUAGCUAGUAGGUGGGGUAAUGGCUCACCUAGGCGACGAUCCCUAGCUGGUCUGAGAGGAUGAACAGCCACGCUGGAACUGAGACACGGUCCAGACUCCUACGGGAGGCAGCAGUGGGGAAUAUUGCACAAUGGGCGCAAGCCUGAUGCAGCCAUGCCGCGUGUAUGAAGAAGGCCUUCGGGUUGUAAAGUACUUUCAGCAGGGAGGAAGGCGGUGAAGUUAAUAACUUCACCGAUUGACGUUACCCGCAGAAGAAGCACCGGCUAACUCCGUGCCAGCCGCCGCAGUAA
RNAcentral lists this ribosomal RNA (504 nucleotides) under uncultured bacterium. RNAcentral's name for it is "partial 16S ribosomal RNA". It matches the Rfam family "Bacterial small subunit ribosomal RNA", at positions 30 to 523 of the family's 1533-position model. The record is from RNAcentral.